GGGCAGAAGGAACGUGACUUCCACGAGGCAGCCGCCGGGCUGGCGGGCCCCACGUUCAGGGUUGUGUCUCGGCUGAAAAAAAGGCACGCCCGAACGCUGGGCAGGGAUUACCCGGCCGGACCCGGGAUUGGAAGGGGGCUCGAAGACGCCUUAGCCCCCCGUGAAGAAAAGGCUUCCCUCCCUCCCAGCUCCAAAUACGGUCCCUGUGAUCUGAGAACAUUACGGCGGGCAUAGAGUCGUCUUUUCUUUAAUGGCCGUGUAGUCGCGGCACAGCCGAGGGUUUCUGGAAUUGCCUUAAACGUAUGCGUUUGAAGAGCGUACCCUUUUGUCGGAGCAGUCACCUUGGAGGGACCACGCAGGCUAUGGCAGCCCGGGUUCAGCAUGUUUAGGGCGAGGGUGUGCUCCAUGGGGACCUGCCUUCUGAUCCGUUUUACCAGGCAUAUAUUUAAAAAAAUGUGUCUUCCUUUCCAAGUAUUCACAUCUUUUUCUACUGACCACAAAUCAGAUUUAAUUCAACUCACAUUUAUUGAACAAGCUAGCCUGUUUUGUUUUUUCACUUUAUUCCUGCAACAGCCACGUGAUAGAGGGAUUACUAUCCACGUUUCACAAACGAUAAAAUUGAGGCUGCCACCUGAUGUUACUGAAGUCCUCCACCCACCUUCUUUCGUUCUUUUUUAAGCGUCUACUAUCGGCUGGGGAUGGAAUAGUUCGCGAGUCAGUUUCUGCCUUCUGAUGGAGGCAGAAAUUUAAACAGCCAACACGGUUUCGGUCCCAGAGGUAAAGAGAAAGGGAAGUCCACACUCUGGGUUUAUGGCCUUGAAGUCGAGCAAGCUAUACUAAGAGAACAGAACAAGGUCUUGCUCUGUCGCCCAGGCUGGAGUGCAGUGGUAUGAACAUGGCUCACUGCAGCCUUGAAUUGACCUCCUGGGCUCAAGGGAUCCUCCUACCUCAGCCUACCAAGUACCUGGGACUACAGGCGCACACCACCAAAAAUAAAAAAAUAAAAAAUAACUUUUCUUAUUUUUGUAGAGACAGGGUCUUACUAUGUUGCCAAGCUGUUCUCAAACUCCUGGGAUCAAGCAAUCCUCCCAGCAUCCCAAGAGCCUAAUCCCCCAGGAAAUAUUUCUGAAAGACUCCAGGAUGGCUUGCCAAGAGCCUUACCUGUGGAAGGUGCUUCCUUUGUAUCCUAUUGGAACCCCAUCUUUCCUAUAACCGAAAAGAAAGAGACUUGGAGUGACAGCAGGUAGCACAAGGCCUUUCCAGUUUACCAUGCACUGGAGCCAAAAGGACUCUCCUAAAGAUGGUUGACAGACAUAAAGAAGGCAAAUAAACUAGGGACAGACCCUUGGGGCAUUACCUUCUAUCACUGUCACCAGCAAUCAUUCAAGGCCAGCAGGUGGUUCACCGAUACCCUCACUGCAGCCCCAGAACACCCCUCUGGAGCAGGCAAAGAAGUCAAACACAUCUGAAACUGACCUGAAUUCUCCGGUGCAGAACUGCCUGAAAGGGACAAAAAAUGAAUGAUUCAAUCACUAUGAUGUCACAGUCGUGAGCGCCUCUAAAUACGGGAAAGAAUAAACACUGGAGCCAGCAAGUCCACCAAUCGGCCAGCCAGACGUCCAGACACGCAGUCACACAGACUAACAACGUAAAUUAACACGGGAACAAUCCAAACGGCAACCAGACAGAGCAAUGCAUGGAGGAAUCAGGUCUCAAGAGCAGUGAGCGGACGGACAGAGGUAGACAGGCUAUUUCAGGCGGCUGACUGGAGCCCGACUUCUGCCUCAGCUAAUCCAGCGGAGCUGGAGCACGUCCUUACCUAAAGUUCUCGGCCGUCUUAGGCACAACGUCUGCAAAGAGCUCGAUCUUCAUGCGGCCAACUUCCUGCAAUCAGCGGGAGAGUGUCAGAAGGCCCAGUCCAAGACCAUGAGGGCUUCACGGAGCAGGGGGCAUGAUGGGCUGACCCACCACCCUGCCGCUCGGUAUCUCCCACCUCCGCCUCCCUAGUCUAACCGCCCAGUUCCUCCAGAAGCGGGGCGCU
Molecule: long non-coding RNA, 2041 nt
Organism: Homo sapiens (human)
Lineage: Eukaryota; Metazoa; Chordata; Mammalia; Primates; Hominidae
Source: Ensembl